GACGAACGCUGGCGGCGUGCCUAACACAUGCAAGUGGAGCGACGAACCGGACUUCGGUCCGGGGCCAAGCCGCGAACGGGUGAGUAACACGUGGGUAACCUGCCCUGAUGAUCGGGACAACCCGAGGAAACUCGGGCUAAUACCGAAUGUGCCCUCCGGUCUCAAGACCGCUGGGGAAAGGAAGCUUCGGCCUCCGCAUCGGGAUGGGCCCGCGGCCCAUUAGCUUGUUGGUGAGGUAAAGGCUCACCAAGGCCACGAUGGGUAGCUGGUCUGAGAGGACGAUCAGCCACACUGGGACUGAGACACGGCCCAGACUCCUACGGGAGGCAGCAGUGGGGAAUCUUGCGCAAUGCGCGAAAGCGUGACGCAGCAACGCCGCGUGGGGGAAGACGGCCUUCGGGUUGUAAACCCCUUUCAGUUGGGACGAAGCUUCGCCGGUGAAUAGCCGGCUGGAGUGACGGUACCUUCAGAAGAAGCCCCGGCUAACUACGUGCCAGCCGCCGCAG
Molecule: ribosomal RNA, 506 nt
Filed under: uncultured bacterium
Lineage: Bacteria
Description: bacterial SSU rRNA
Rfam family: Bacterial small subunit ribosomal RNA
Source: RNAcentral